UUUGAACAUGUCAUGUCUGUCCAACCUCUAGACUGUAAGCUUAGAAGAGUGACUCUAUGUUGUGGUUUGAACAUGUAAUGUCUGCCAUGGGAAUAUGUUGGUCCCCAGCUACUGGUGCUAUUUUGAUUCUAUGUCCUUGAUACUGUGGGCCAAGCCCCAGUGAAAAGUAUCUGUUAUAAGGAAAAGUUGCUAGAUCCAGUGAAGAAAUUAGGCAAUGUCUCCUGACUUUUACAAAACAGGAAUAAGACCUAGAACUACUGUCCACCUGGAAGAUUGUCACAGACCUCUACCUUCACAUUAACAACAGGUUUUUAUCCUAAGUGCAAUCUGGAGUUCUUUUUGUUAAGGUUCAUCUGUCCAGACUGAGUCCUGCUAUAGCAUGAAGACAAUAAACACUGGCUGGAAAGAGGACACUCCAAAAGGAAGGCUAUGCCUGGAGCACCAGAGAUAUGCUUCUCUGACGCAGUUCUUAGAGCCUGAAGCAGCUAUGUCGUCAUCGCGCUUUGCAGACUUUGGUCUAAGACAGCCCAGCUCUUGACACAGCUGCCUCGAAGGAGAGGCAGGAAAGAAAUCCAUCAGCUACAUCUUCUCCUGCGGAAAAAAGGAUUAUCAAACUUCUCUUGAGGUGAUGCUCUGAGGCAUUAAUCUACCUCCUGACCGACAUCCUUUAUCUCUAUUUGAGUAUGGAGAUAGGUAAAGGGAAGUUGGGUCCAAAUGAAAACAAGUAUUGGCGAGAGCAUCUUUACCACCUCUGCAGUCGAAUGAAUGGGUCACUGCCAGCCAUCCUUGUUGAGGAGAUAUUUGGCAAGAAGCCAUUUGCAAAAAUAUCAUCUGUGACUUUCCUUUUGCUGGAGAUUUCAUUGAUUUGGAAAUUAUAAAUCACAGGAGCCGAUGAAAUAACUUUGAUCUUCCUAGUCUGUUCGUUCAUUGUGGCAUCAGGUCAUACCUGCACAGGCUUGAAGAUACACCGGCAGAUGGCAGAACAUAUGCCCUGAUUAAGAUUUAUGUAUUCAGUUCCGAUGAAUCUACAUAGGGUUUCCUAGAAAAGGAGAAGACGUACUGUAAGCAUGGAUGAGUGAAUGUCUGCUCAACUGUUUUCCUGCUGAAGAGAUCUGAAAAAUCACAGAACUUUGAGACAGUGUUGACAGGUCCCUGUUUUAUUUUUAUAAAAAAAAUCAAAU
This is a long non-coding RNA of Mus musculus (house mouse), 1181 nucleotides long. RefSeq annotates it as RIKEN cDNA 4930562F17 gene. The record is from RefSeq and is a predicted model, not a curated record. NCBI's taxonomy places the organism in Eukaryota, Metazoa, Chordata, Mammalia, Rodentia, Muridae. The transcript is spliced from 5 exons.